CUAUCUUUGUUACAGCAGUAGGGAUAAGAACUGGAUAUGGGUGUGGAGAAGAAAAUAAGUCCAAUGUUUUGGUAAGCAGAAGGGAAGAAGUUAGGACUGAAGGAAAGGAGGUUCAAACGGUGGUUUGAGCUUGAAUGAGAAUGGGAUAAUUUUAUGUCUGGAGUAAUGAGAUUGACAUGCUAGACAAGGAGGUUAUGGUGAGAAGCUUGGGAAGUAAACAUAGCUGGAGAUACCUGAAGAGUGAAACUGGAAUAAGAAGUUAUGGGUUGGGUCUGGAUUAAUGCUGAAUAGACAGGGCUGUAAAUCUUGUAUUUGAGAGAACAAGCAGAAAUUUGUGCCUGCUGAGGAACACGGCAAUCCGGAGCCUGAGUGACACCAUCUCCCUCUGCUGCAA
Chiroxiphia lanceolata (lance-tailed manakin) is the source of this 394-nucleotide long non-coding RNA. RefSeq lists it as uncharacterized. The transcript is spliced from 3 exons. The record is from RefSeq and is a predicted model, not a curated record. NCBI's taxonomy places the organism in Eukaryota, Metazoa, Chordata, Aves, Passeriformes, Pipridae.